Molecule: ribosomal RNA, 56 nt
Filed under: Limnospira platensis Sp-7
Lineage: Bacteria; Bacillati; Cyanobacteriota; Cyanophyceae; Oscillatoriales; Sirenicapillariaceae
Description: Arthrospira platensis Sp-7 partial 23S ribosomal RNA
Source: RNAcentral
GGUCAAGCUACAAAGGGCUAACGGUGGGAUACCUAGGCACACAGAGCGGCCGCAAA